This 598-nucleotide ribosomal RNA is filed under the name Escherichia coli. RNAcentral's name for it is "partial 23S ribosomal RNA". It matches the Rfam family "Bacterial large subunit ribosomal RNA", at positions 2333 to 2925 of the family's 2925-position model. The record is from RNAcentral. Lineage: Bacteria; Pseudomonadati; Pseudomonadota; Gammaproteobacteria; Enterobacterales; Enterobacteriaceae. RNAcentral also lists the same sequence under 1 other name.
GGACAUCAGGAGGUUAGUGCAAUGGCAUAAGCCAGCUUGACUGCGAGCGUGACGGCGCGAGCAGGUGCGAAAGCAGGUCAUAGUGAUCCGGUGGUUCUGAAUGGAAGGGCCAUCGCUCAACGGAUAAAAGGUACUCCGGGGAUAACAGGCUGAUACCGCCCAAGAGUUCAUAUCGACGGCGGUGUUUGGCACCUCGAUGUCGGCUCAUCACAUCCUGGGGCUGAAGUAGGUCCCAAGGGUAUGGCUGUUCGCCAUUUAAAGUGGUACGCGAGCUGGGUUUAGAACGUCGUGAGACAGUUCGGUCCCUAUCUGCCGUGGGCGCUGGAGAACUGAGGGGGGCUGCUCCUAGUACGAGAGGACCGGAGUGGACGCAUCACUGGUGUUCGGGUUGUCAUGCCAAUGGCACUGCCCGGUAGCUAAAUGCGGAAGAGAUAAGUGCUGAAAGCAUCUAAGCACGAAACUUGCCCCGAGAUGAGUUCUCCCUGACUCCUUGAGAGUCCUGAAGGAACGUUGAAGACGACGACGUUGAUAGGCCGGGUGUGUAAGCGCAGCGAUGCGUUGAGCUAACCGGUACUAAUGAACCGUGAGGCUUAACCUU